GCGGCAAGUGUGGGGCUGUGCGGUGUCGGGGAGGCAGCAGGAAGACGCACAGUGUGUUUGAGCAGCACCAGGAUGGAGGAGCCCACUGGGAACCUUCCCACCCGGAGAGACGUCAUUCUUUCCGAGUCGUGCUGGGAUCACAUCACCAUAACAAACCUGCACUAAACUCGCUGGGCAUUUGGAAAACUGUAUUUAGAGCUGUUCCUGGGUCUGCAUCAAAGACCGC
RNAcentral lists this long non-coding RNA (226 nucleotides) under Cyanistes caeruleus (blue tit). RNAcentral's name for it is "lncRNA (ENSCCEG00000008380.1)". Lineage: Eukaryota; Metazoa; Chordata; Aves; Passeriformes; Paridae. The record is from RNAcentral.